Molecule: long non-coding RNA, 279 nt
Filed under: Brassica napus (rape)
Lineage: Eukaryota; Viridiplantae; Streptophyta; Magnoliopsida; Brassicales; Brassicaceae
Description: long non-coding RNA (BNAP_LNC021189)
Source: RNAcentral
AUUUAACCAUUUUCAAUAGUAUUGAUGUCAAAUCUUGAUUAAUAAAUUGUCAAGUUUGAUUCCCAAUAUCACAAGCAAUGCAACAGAUAGACACAAGGCAUUAUCAAGUUCUAAUCUUUGCAAGCUAAAUCUCUAAGUACAAGUAAGAUCCUAACAGAUUCAAGACAAGUUACUUAGGCACUCUUAAGAGCUUCUUUACUCAGUACUUAGACAUGAAUCUAAUACUUCAAUGUAAGACAGCCACAAGAGUAUAUGCAACAGCUUUAAAUUCGGUUUCAC